CUCUCUCUCACCGUGCAUCUCUCUUUCUCUUUCUCGUCCAGUGCAUAGCCACCGAGUGCACCACCUCCCGUCGCACGCCGCGCCGUCGCACUUCACCAUCUCGGUGACGAUUAAUAUUUGUUCGGUAUUUUUGAGGAAAGUUCUAAAACGCUAAGAAGUCCAGAUGAUUUUUGAAUAGACCAGCUAAGGAUCAGGAUUAUGGAGUA
This is a long non-coding RNA of Juglans microcarpa x Juglans regia, 206 nucleotides long. RefSeq lists it as uncharacterized. The record is from RefSeq and is a predicted model, not a curated record. Lineage: Eukaryota; Viridiplantae; Streptophyta; Magnoliopsida; Fagales; Juglandaceae. The transcript has 3 exons.